RNAcentral lists this ribosomal RNA (253 nucleotides) under uncultured bacterium. RNAcentral's name for it is "partial 16S ribosomal RNA". It matches the Rfam family "Bacterial small subunit ribosomal RNA", at positions 524 to 776 of the family's 1533-position model. The record is from RNAcentral.
UACGGAGGGUGCAAGCGUUGCUCGGAAUUACUGGGCGUAAAGCGUGUGUAGGCGGCUUCGUAAGUCGGGUGUGAAAUCCCUGGGCUUAACCCAGGAACUGCGCCCGAAACUGUGAAGCUUGAGUGCCGGAGAGGGUGGUAGAAUUCCCAGUGUAGAGGUGAAAUUCGUAGAUAUUGGGAGGAAUACCAGUGGCGAAGGCGGCCACCUGGACGGACACUGACGCUGAGACACGAAAGCGUGGGGAGCAAACAGG